This 503-nucleotide ribosomal RNA is filed under the name uncultured bacterium. RNAcentral's name for it is "bacterial SSU rRNA". It matches the Rfam family "Bacterial small subunit ribosomal RNA", at positions 1027 to 1529 of the family's 1533-position model. The record is from RNAcentral.
CAAAGUGACAGGUGGUGCAUGGUUGUCGUCAGCUCGUGUCGUGAGAUGUUGGGUUAAGUCCCGCAACGAGCGCAACCCUUAAGCUUAGUUGCCAGCAUUAAGUUGGGCACUCUAAGUUGACUGCCGGUGACAAACCGGAGGAAGGUGGGGAUGACGUCAAAUCAUCAUGCCCCUUAUGAUUUGGGCUACACACGUGCUACAAUGGACAAUACAAAGGGCAGCUAAACCGCGAGGUCAUGCAAAUCCCAUAAAGUUGUUCUCAGUUCGGAUUGUAGUCUGCAACUCGACUACAUGAAGCUGGAAUCGCUAGUAAUCGUAGAUCAGCAUGCUACGGUGAAUACGUUCCCGGGUCUUGUACACACCGCCCGUCACACCACGAGAGUCUGUAACACCCGAAGCCGGUGGAGUAACCAUUUAUGGAGCUAGCCGUCGAAGGUGGGACAAAUGAUUGGGGUGAAGUCGUAACAAGGUAGCCGUAUCGGAAGGUGCGGCUGGAUCACCUC